CCUCCCAAAACUAGGCGUUUUCCCCUGAAGUUUAGAGCACCGUUUCACAUCAAGGCGCCUGAUUUCAAACGGGCCAAUCAGCGCACUGCAUCAGGCUCCACCGCAGACAACGUCUGUACAGCUCCACACAAGUUUUGCUUUGGACUACGGCAGCACGCGAUCUUCAUUUUCGUGGACUUGUUUCUCAUUUUAACGUCUGCUACAGGUCGUCUUCAGUUACUACGGGACAGCAUCUUCUGCCAGCAUCUACCAGAGGUCAGUCCAGUGGUUGCUUGCAAGAAGUCAUUGAGAUGAUUUUGACGAGAAGGAAGAGCUUCUGUUCCACUGCGUUGAGAUGACAAGCCUUUCAGAAGAUGUUCAGAUGGAGAAAGUGCCACCAACGCCCUUCAUCAUUGUUUGCGGUUCCUCCUGCUUCGCUGCUGAAACAU
This is a long non-coding RNA of Oreochromis aureus, 428 nucleotides long. RefSeq lists it as uncharacterized. The record is from RefSeq and is a predicted model, not a curated record. The transcript has 3 exons. Lineage: Eukaryota; Metazoa; Chordata; Actinopteri; Cichliformes; Cichlidae.